This 322-nucleotide unclassified non-coding RNA is filed under the name uncultured Hypocreales. RNAcentral's name for it is "sequence contains ITS1". The stretch from base 1 to 105 matches the Rfam family "5.8S ribosomal RNA", at positions 50 to 154 of the family's 154-position model. Lineage: Eukaryota; Fungi; Ascomycota; Sordariomycetes; Hypocreales. The record is from RNAcentral.
GAAAUGCGAUAAGUAAUGUGAAUUGCAGAAUUCCGUGAAUCAUCGAAUCUUUGAACGCACAUUGCGCCCCCUGGCAUUCCGGGGGGCAUGCCUGUCCGAGCGUCAUUUCUGCCCUCAAGCCCCCGUGGCCCGGCGUUGGGGAUCUGCCCAGGCAGGCCCCGAAAACCAGUGGCGGACCCGUUACAGGCCCUUCCUUUGCGUAGUAAUACUGCCUCGCAUCGGGAGCCGGCGGGCUUCCAGCCUCUAAACCCCCAGCAAGUCCGCCUCGGCGGCACCAAGGUUGACCUCGGAUCAGGUAGGAAUACCCGCAUCGAUGAAGAAC